RNAcentral lists this ribosomal RNA (291 nucleotides) under SAR202 cluster bacterium. Its description in RNAcentral is "partial 23S ribosomal RNA". It matches the Rfam family "Bacterial large subunit ribosomal RNA", at positions 2643 to 2925 of the family's 2925-position model. The record is from RNAcentral. Lineage: Bacteria; Bacillati; Chloroflexota; Dehalococcoidia.
CGUCGUGGGCGCAGGAGAUUUGAGGGGAGCUUUCCCUAGUACGAGAGGACCGGGAAGGACGGACCUCUGGUGUACCGGUUGUUCCGCCAGGAGCAUUGCCGGGUAGCCAAGUCUGGAUGAGAUAAGCGCUGAAAGCAUCUAAGCACGAAGCCAACCCCAAGAUUAGAUCUCCCAUCUUUCGAUUCGUCAAAAGAGUAAGGUCUCCCGUAGACUACGGGGUUGAUAGGCCGCAGGUGUAAGCCCCGUAAGGGGUUCAGCUGAGCGGUACUAAUCGACCGAGGACUUGACCCA